AUGGCUCACGAUGAACGCUGGCGGCGUGCCUAACACAUGCAAGUCGAGCGGAGAUCAGGAGGUAGCAAUACGGAAUGGAUCUUAGCGGCGGACGGGUGAGUAACACGUGAGUAACCUGCCUUCUACAGGGGAAUAACACCGUGAAAACGGUGCUAAUACCGCAUAACAUCACACUGUGGCAUCACAGAGUGAUCAAAGGAGCAAUCCGGUAGAAGAUGGACUCGCGUCCGAUUAGCUAGUUGGCGGGGUAACGGCCCACCAAGGCGACGAUCGGUAGCCGAACUGAGAGGUUGAUCGGCCACAUUGGGACUGAGACACGGCCCAGACUCCUACGGGAGGCAGCAGUGGGGAAUAUUGGGCAAUGGGGCCGAAAGCCUGACCCAGCAACGCCGCGUGAAGGAAGAAGGCCUUCGGGUUGUAAACUUCUUUGAACAGGGACGAAACAAAUGACGGUACCUGAAAAACAAGCCACGGCUAACUACGUGCCAGCCGCCGC
Molecule: ribosomal RNA, 496 nt
Filed under: uncultured bacterium
Lineage: Bacteria
Description: bacterial SSU rRNA
Rfam family: Bacterial small subunit ribosomal RNA
Source: RNAcentral